CAAACUAUAGGUUCAGGGCUCAUUUCUCUAGUUCAUUACUAGAGAAGUUUCUCUGACUGUAUAGAGUACCAGAAACCACAGGGAGGAGACACAGCAUUCUCUCCUGAGCAAUGAAGCCAGCUCUUGGCGUUGCUUUGCUGGUUGCCAUUUUCCAUUGGUGAUUGUUCUUCUCUCUUUCAGGAGAGCAGAGGGAGAGGAUCCAGUCUGAAUAGU
This 213-nucleotide small nucleolar RNA is filed under the name Nannospalax galili (Upper Galilee mountains blind mole rat). Its description in RNAcentral is "Small nucleolar RNA U3 (ENSNGAG00000006380.1)". It matches the Rfam family "Small nucleolar RNA U3". Rfam says of the family: Small nucleolar RNAs (snoRNAs) are involved in the processing and modification of rRNA in the nucleolus. There are two main classes of snoRNAs: the box C/D class, and the box H/ACA class. U3 snoRNA is a member of the box C/D class. The record is from RNAcentral. Lineage: Eukaryota; Metazoa; Chordata; Mammalia; Rodentia; Spalacidae.